CUGGAACAUAUGACGCUGAGACGCGAAAGCGUGGGAGCAACAGGAUUAGAUACCCUGGUAGCCCACGCCUAAACGAUGUACACUAGUGUGUGAGGCUCGACCUUGCAGUAAUGCAGUUAACACAUUAAGUGUACCGCCUGGGGAGUACGGUCGCAAGAUUAAAACUCAAAGGAAUAGACGGGGACCCGCACGAGCGGUGGAGCAUGUGGUUUAAUUCGACGAUACACGAAGAACCUUACCUGGACUUGACAUAGUAAGAACUUUCUAGAGAUAGAUUGGUGUCUGCUUGCAGAAACUUAUAUACAGGUGCUGCACGGCUGUCGUCAGCUCGUGUCGUGAGAUGUUGGGUUAAGUCCCGCAACGGGCGCAACCCUCGUCAUUAGUUGCUAACAGUUCGGCUGAGAACUCUAAUGAGACUGCCUACGCAAGUAGGAGGAAGGUGAGGACGACGUCAAGUCAUCAUGGCCCUUACGUCCAGGGCUACACACGUGCUACAAUGGGGUAUACAAAGAGCAGCAAUACGGUGACGUGGAGCAAAUCUCAAAAAUAUCUCCCAGUUCGGAUUGUAGUCUGCAACUCGACUACAUGAAGUUGGAAUCGCUAGUAAUCGUAGAUCAGCUAUGCUACGGUGAAUACGUUCCCGGGUCUUGUACUCACCGCCCGUCACACCAUGGGAGUUGAACUCAUUCGAAGCGGGGAUGCUAAAGUAGCUACCUUCCACAGUGGAUUCAGCGACUGGGGUGAAGUCGUAACAAGGUAACCACUGUGCAGCAGGCCGCGGGAUUGUGCCAGCAGGCCGCGGUG
RNAcentral lists this ribosomal RNA (804 nucleotides) under uncultured Arcobacter sp. RNAcentral's name for it is "bacterial SSU rRNA". It matches the Rfam family "Bacterial small subunit ribosomal RNA", at positions 729 to 1533 of the family's 1533-position model. Lineage: Bacteria; Pseudomonadati; Campylobacterota; Epsilonproteobacteria; Campylobacterales; Arcobacteraceae. The record is from RNAcentral.